CUCUUGAUUUUUAUUUAAAUAAAUGUAUGAAUGUGGUAGAUAAGAGAAUAUCACAUUUUGAAAAUAAUUUAGAAGUAAAUAAUAGAGUACAUAAUACACCUAUUUCCAGAAUAAGAAAUAAACUUCAAAUACUUUCAAAGCGGUUUGUGUUUGUACCGGCCGACAAAGCAGCCAACAAUGUGGUGGUGGUAUGCCGUAAAUACUACACGGACGUUCUUAAGAAUGAAAUUUUUAAAUUCAUCUACAUUCAAGUCCAUCCGCUCCACAGAGAGUCAUAUAGUAAACAAGCAUAUCACAAC
This 299-nucleotide long non-coding RNA is filed under the name Mytilus galloprovincialis (Mediterranean mussel). Lineage: Eukaryota; Metazoa; Mollusca; Bivalvia; Mytilida; Mytilidae. The record is from RNAcentral.